Molecule: ribosomal RNA, 233 nt
Filed under: uncultured bacterium
Lineage: Bacteria
Description: partial 16S ribosomal RNA
Rfam family: Bacterial small subunit ribosomal RNA
Source: RNAcentral
AGUAACACGUAGAUAACCUGCCCUGAAGUGGGGAAUAACAGCCCGAAAGGGUUGCUAAUACCGCAUAAUCUCGCUUUUGAUAGAAGGUGAGGAAACCCUGUGGGCAACCAUGGGGGCUAUAGGAGGGGUCUGCGGCGGAUUAGCUAGAUGGUGGGGUAAAGGCCUACCAUGGCGACGAUCCGUAGCUGGUCUGAGAGGACGGCCAGCCACACUGGGACUGAGAUACGGCCCAG